This is a long non-coding RNA of Gallus gallus (chicken), 702 nucleotides long. RefSeq lists it as uncharacterized. NCBI's taxonomy places the organism in Eukaryota, Metazoa, Chordata, Aves, Galliformes, Phasianidae. The record is from RefSeq and is a predicted model, not a curated record. The transcript has 2 exons.
AGAAAGAAGUUUGCUUUCCUCCAGCACAGCUAGACAGACUCACUAAGGUCACUCCUCUCUCCAGAGCAGAGCACAGAGCAGACUAAACACUGACCUACAGCUCUGAAACCUUGCACAAACGCUGCGCCUCAGAAGUUUCCACUGCUUAUGAGACUUUUGCAAGCAAGUUGAGCAUUGGUUAAUGAUGACAGAUGAAAAGAUCUACAGCCGUUACUCCUUGUCUUAUUCCAACGUUCAACGUCUAGAGAAAGCAACAAGGAAGGCAUGACAAGCCAGGACCGCGCACAGCAGCGAUUCCCCAAGCACAUCGGUCCCCCGAAGCAAGGCAGAACAAAGUUGCAGCCGUGCCCCCAGCAGAUAAGUACCUCCGUCUCUUUAGCCGGGCUGCUCGCCGCCUCCACAUCCAAGGCGCAAUUCGCCCUCUUGACCGUAAGGUAAAAAGGGUAAUCCUUGGCCACCAUCGCGGCGGCGCGAGAAGCGGUUUCGGGUGUCACAGCUGAUUCUGUCCGAGUCCAAACAGCGAGGACGGGGCCGAGCCGGGCAGGCUGACGCGUCCCGCCCAAAGCUCCAAGCGCGUGGCCCGGGGCUGGCGAGCAGCGGCAGGCAGCGAGCAGGGAGCGGGACGCGGACGGCAGACGGGCACGGAAGGCAACAGCCGACCGCCCCUCAGCACAGCCCGCCCCGCUGGGCGGGAACGGCCCC